RNAcentral lists this ribosomal RNA (231 nucleotides) under uncultured bacterium. Its description in RNAcentral is "partial 16S ribosomal RNA". It matches the Rfam family "Bacterial small subunit ribosomal RNA", at positions 118 to 350 of the family's 1533-position model. The record is from RNAcentral.
UGGGCAACCUGCCCUCAGCUCUGGGAUAACUCCGGGAAACCGAGGCUAAUACCGGAUAUGACCACUCCUGGCAUCUGGGGUGGUGGAAAGUUCUUCGGCUGAGGAUGGGCCCGCGGCCUAUCAGCUUGUUGGUGGGGUUACGGCCCACCAAGGCGACGACGGGUAGCCGGCCUGAGAGGGCGACCGGCCACACUGGGACUGAGACACGGCCCAGACUCCGUACGGGAGGCA